AUACGGAGGGUCCGAGCGUUAUCCGGAAUCAUUGGGUUUAAAGGGUCCGUAGGCGGGAAUCUAAGUCAGUGGUGAAAUCUUGCAGCUCAACUGUAAAAUUGCCAUUGAUACUGGAUUUCUUGAAUUAGUGUGAAGUGGUUAGAAUGUGUAGUGUAGCGGUGAAAUGCAUAGAUAUUACACAGAAUACCAAUUGCGAAGGCAGAUCACUAACACUAUAUUGACGCUAAGGGACGAAAGCGUGGGGAGCGAACAGGAUUAGAUACCCUUGUAGUCC
Molecule: ribosomal RNA, 274 nt
Filed under: uncultured bacterium
Lineage: Bacteria
Description: partial 16S ribosomal RNA
Rfam family: Bacterial small subunit ribosomal RNA
Source: RNAcentral